AAAUCCGUCCGGGGGGUCUAAGAGGUGUCGGGCCUGCCAUCAGUGGGCCGGUAGCUCAGCCUGGGAGAGCGUCGGCUUUGCAAGCCGAAGGCCCCGGGUUCGAAUCCCGGCCGGUCCACCACGAAGAGGUGCACAUCCCGAGCACUGCUCGGGGUGGAAGGGCCUGAGACCCCGAACAGGGG
Molecule: transfer RNA, 182 nt
Filed under: Thermococcus acidaminovorans
Lineage: Archaea; Methanobacteriati; Methanobacteriota; Thermococci; Thermococcales; Thermococcaceae
Description: 16S-23S ribosomal RNA intergenic spacer
Rfam family: tRNA (bases 45-118)
Source: RNAcentral